UGAGGAAUAUUGGUCAAUGGGCGGGAGCCUGAACCAGCCAAGCCGCGUGAGGGAAUAAGGCCCUACGGGUCGUAAAACCUCUUUUGUCGGGGGAACAAAAAGCGGGGACGUGUCCCGUCCUGCGNGUACCCGAACGAAAAAGACAUCGGCUAACUCCGUGCC
This 162-nucleotide ribosomal RNA is filed under the name uncultured bacterium. RNAcentral's name for it is "partial 16S ribosomal RNA". It matches the Rfam family "Bacterial small subunit ribosomal RNA", at positions 355 to 509 of the family's 1533-position model. The record is from RNAcentral.